UACGUAGGAUGCAAGCGUUGUCCGGAAUUAUUGGGCGUAAAGCGAACGUAGGCGGUUUCUUAAGUUUGGUCUUAAAGACCGGGGCUCAACCCCGGGAAUGGAUCGAUAACUGGGAGACUGGAGGACGUCAGAGGAAAGUGGAAUUCCGAGUGUAGCGGUGAAAUGCGUAGAUAUUCGGAGGAACACCAGUGGCGAAAGCGACUUUCUGGGACGUUCCUGACGCUGAGGUUCGAAAGCUCGGGGAGCAAACAGG
RNAcentral lists this ribosomal RNA (253 nucleotides) under uncultured bacterium. RNAcentral describes it as "partial 16S ribosomal RNA". It matches the Rfam family "Bacterial small subunit ribosomal RNA", at positions 524 to 776 of the family's 1533-position model. The record is from RNAcentral.